CAGGAAGCAGAAAGUAGGGAGGAGAAGGAAGACCUCAAGAAACAGGCAAACAUCGCAAUUUGCCUAUAGGUGUCCAGAUUCCUUUUCCCAGAGAAUGUGUUUUCAGCAUCACCACUAGAAUGAGAGCGCCAUGGGGUCUCACGCUUCUCAACACGAUCAGGUCUUAUUACUUUUGGCCCAAUCUUCUCCAUCGUAGAGAAAGUUCAGGUAGAAGAUGAACCUUGAAGAAAUUUACGGCAUACACUUGAGUUUCAAGAAUGUUGGCAUCCUCGACAAUUCGGUCUCCAAGUGGCCUCCAUAGUAAUGGGAACAGGGACUCUCUCUGACAUGAACUGAUUGGCUUUCUCUUUGAUCACCUCACCCUGAGCGGGGAGCAGCAUUACCCGGCCACAGAGGAAGACAAUGCAGCCACUCCUGAUGAUACCUAACAGACUAGGAUCAGAAGGAAGGAAAAGGAACCCUCCCCUACCAGUGGAUUGGGGAGGGGCAUGCGUGGAGAAGGGGGAGGAAGAGAGGGAUUGGAAGGGGAGGAGGGAGGAAACUAG
Molecule: long non-coding RNA, 545 nt
Organism: Meriones unguiculatus (Mongolian gerbil)
Lineage: Eukaryota; Metazoa; Chordata; Mammalia; Rodentia; Muridae
Exons: 4
Source: RefSeq, a predicted model, not a curated record